GCGAGUUAGGUUGCGCCGCAUGACCCAUAUUCCCGUUUAGUUUUGGGGAAAAAAGGAGACAUUUGGAUACGCCGCCAUCUUGUUACCGGGCAACCCGGAGGGCGGAGCGGGACAGAGGAGAACGGGAAGAUAAAGGAGCCGGGAUGGCCGCAGCUGCUCAUCAAGAGAUGGCGUCCGAUGUCUCACCCCUGGGAGUGGCCUCAGGAAACCCAGGUUCCAGCACUCAGGCCGGAGGGUCCAUGGCGCAGAGAGGAAACAAGCGCCGCUCUUCUGGGUUGGAUUUUGACGAUGAUGACGACGAUGAUGAUUCCGGACAGAAAUUCCUCAGGU
This is a long non-coding RNA of Nanorana parkeri, 330 nucleotides long. RefSeq lists it as uncharacterized. Lineage: Eukaryota; Metazoa; Chordata; Amphibia; Anura; Dicroglossidae. The transcript is spliced from 3 exons. The record is from RefSeq and is a predicted model, not a curated record.